CGAGGCCAGAUCUUUCCGGUUGAUCCUGCCGGACCUGACUGCUAUCGGAUUGAUACUAAGCCAUGCGAGUCAUUGUAGUAAUACAAGGCAGACGGCUCAGUAACGCGUAGUCAACCUAACCUAUGGACGGGAAUAACCUCGGGAAACUGAGUAUAAUGCCCGAUAGAACAUUAUGCCUGGAAUGGUUUAUGUUCCAAAUGAUUUAUCGCCGUAGGAUGGGACUGCGGCCUAUCAGUUUGUUGGUGAGGUAAUGGCCCACCAAGACUAUUACAGGUACGGGCUCUGAGAGGAGUAGCCCGGAGAUGGGUACUGAGACACGGACCCAGGCCCUAUGGGGCGCAGCAGGCGAGAAAACUUUGCAAUGUGCGAAAGCACGACAAGGUUAAUCCGAGUGGUUUCUGCUAAAGGAACCUUUUGUCGGUCCUAGAAACACCGAUGAAUAAGGGGUGGGCAAGUUCUGGUGUCAGCCGCCGCGGUAAAACCAGCACCUCAAGUGGUCAGGAUGAUUAUUGGGCCUAAAGCAUCCGUAGCCGGCUCUGUUAGUUUUCGGUUAAA
RNAcentral lists this ribosomal RNA (555 nucleotides) under uncultured archaeon. RNAcentral describes it as "bacterial SSU rRNA". It matches the Rfam family "Archaeal small subunit ribosomal RNA", at positions 1 to 549 of the family's 1478-position model. The record is from RNAcentral.